CCUACGGGUGGCAGCAGUGAGGAAUAUUGGUCAAUGGGCGGAAGCCUGAACCAGCCAAGUCGCGUGAGGGAAUAAGGCCCUACGGGUCGUAAACCUCUUUUGCCGGGGAGCAAGGGCCGGGACGCGUCCCGGCCCGGAGAGUACCCGGAGAAAAAGCAUCGGCUAACUCCGUGCCAGCAGCCGCGGUAAUACGGAGGGAGCGAGCGUUAUCCGGAUUUACUGGGUGUAAAGGGCGUGUAGGCGGGAUGGCAAGUCAGGCGUGAAAACUAUGGGCUCAACCCAUAGCCUGCGUUUGAAACUGUCGUUCUUGAGUGAUGGAGAGGCAAGCGGAAUUCCGGGUGUAGCGGUGAAAUGCGUAGAUAUACGGAGGAACACCAGUGGCGAAGGCGGCUUGCUGGACAUUAACUGACGCUGAGGCGCGAAAGCGUGGGGAGCAAACAGGAUUAGAUACCCUAGUAGUC
This 461-nucleotide ribosomal RNA is filed under the name uncultured bacterium. Its description in RNAcentral is "partial 16S ribosomal RNA". It matches the Rfam family "Bacterial small subunit ribosomal RNA", at positions 338 to 795 of the family's 1533-position model. The record is from RNAcentral.